This 684-nucleotide ribosomal RNA is filed under the name Bacillus subtilis. RNAcentral describes it as "bacterial SSU rRNA". It matches the Rfam family "Bacterial small subunit ribosomal RNA", at positions 565 to 1249 of the family's 1533-position model. The record is from RNAcentral. Lineage: Bacteria; Bacillati; Bacillota; Bacilli; Caryophanales; Bacillaceae.
GGGCUCGCAGGCGGUUUCUUAAGUCUGAUGUGAAAGCCCCCGGCUCAACCGGGGAGGGUCAUUGGAAACUGGGGAACUUGAGUGCAGAAGAGGAGAGUGGAAUUCCACGUGUAGCGGUGAAAUGCGUAGAGAUGUGGAGGAACACCAGUGGCGAAGGCGACUCUCUGGUCUGUAACUGACGCUGAGGAGCGAAAGCGUGGGGAGCGAACAGGAUUAGAUACCCUGGUAGUCCACGCCGUAAACGAUGAGUGCUAAGUGUUAGGGGGUUUCCGCCCCUUAGUGCUGCAGCUAACGCAUUAAGCACUCCGCCUGGGGAGUACGGUCGCAAGACUGAAACUCAAAGGAAUUGACGGGGGCCCGCACAAGCGGUGGAGCAUGUGGUUUAAUUCGAAGCAACGCGAAGAACCUUACCAGGUCUUGACGGCGUCUGACAAUCCUAGAGAUAGGACGUCCCCUUCGGGGGCAGAGUGACAGGUGGUGCAUGGUUGUCGUCAGCUCGUGUCGUGAGAUGUUGGGUUAAGUCCCGCAACGAGCGCAACCCUUGAUCUUAGUUGCCAGCAUUCAGUUGGGCACUCUAAGGUGACUGCCGGUGACAAACCGGAGGAAGGUGGGGAUGACGUCAAAUCAUCAUGCCCCUUAUGACCUGGGCUACACACGUGCUACAAUGGACAGAACAAAGGGCAG